Molecule: ribosomal RNA, 349 nt
Filed under: Hyphomicrobiales bacterium
Lineage: Bacteria; Pseudomonadati; Pseudomonadota; Alphaproteobacteria; Hyphomicrobiales
Description: bacterial SSU rRNA
Rfam family: Bacterial small subunit ribosomal RNA
Source: RNAcentral
UCAACUUAAGAGUUUGAUCCUGGCUCAGAACGAACGCUGGCGGCAGGCCUAACACAUGCAAGUCGAACGCCGUAGCAAUACGGAGUGGCAGACGGGUGAGUAACGCGUGGGAACGUGCCUUUCGGUUCGGGAUAACCCAGGGAAACUUGGGCUAAUACCGGAUACGCCCUUCGGGGGAAAGAUUCAUUGCCGAAAGAUCGGCCCGCGUCGGAUUAGCUAGUUGGUGGGGUAAUGGCCUACCAAGGCGACGAUCCGUAGCUGGUCUGAGAGGAUGACCAGCCACACUGGGACUGAGACACGGCCCAGACUCCUACGGGAGGCAGCAGUGGGGAAUAUUGGACAAUGGGCG